This is an RNA transcript of Piliocolobus tephrosceles (Ugandan red Colobus), 2123 nucleotides long. RefSeq lists it as uncharacterized. The transcript has a single exon. NCBI's taxonomy places the organism in Eukaryota, Metazoa, Chordata, Mammalia, Primates, Cercopithecidae. The record is from RefSeq and is a predicted model, not a curated record.
AGGACGAGGGAAGUGAACCAAGAGGAACCUGUUGCCAUGAUCAGACGUGCAGCUGCCUACCUAGUGAGGACUUCAAGCCCCACCACACAGCAUGCUUGCAUUCUCUCCUGGCUUGGGGUAAGAAGUGGCUGUGGUGUUUGGCAAUGCUAAUUCAAUGUCACAACAUAUAGUUUAGGCUGAGGAUAAAGAAGAGACAUUCUGAGUUUGUAGUAAAAGUGGUCUCUGCUGAGGAAGGGUUUUCUUUUCUUUCUUUCUUUUUUUCUUUAAUAACAAGGAGAUUUCUUAGUUCAUGUAUCAAGAAGUCUUCAAGUUGGGUGUUUCCAGAAUUGGUAAAAACAGCAGCUCAUAGAAUUUUGAGGAUUCCACGAGCUGCUCAUCACAGUUCUUUCCUCUUUCUGCUCUGCCAUCUUCAGGAUAUUGGUUGCUCCCCUCAUAGUAAUAAGAUGGCUGUGGCAUUUCCAAACAUCCAAAAAAAGGGAAGGAUUUUAGGAGGUGGAGUCGGGUCAAACAUAAAAUAUAUAUACAUAUAUACAUUGCUUAGAACGUUAAACUAUUAAGAGUAUUUCCCUCCCAAAGAGGGAUGUUUGAAAAAACUCUGAAGGAGAGGAGGAAUUAGUUGGGUUGCCAAUUUCCUCUCCACUGCUGGACAUGAGAUGGAGAGGUUGAGGGACAGGAUCUAUAGGCAGCUUCUAACAGCAAACUUCACAUUGGAAGGGAUCUGAAAACAUGUUGCCAGGGGCUUGAGAAUAUUACUGAGUUAUUGGGAGUCUUAAUGAAGUAAGCUAGCUAUUAGGUCCAUUCAUUAAUUAGUUCCAGUUUCUCCUUGAAAUGAGUAAAAACUAGAAGGCUUCUCCAGUGUUGUGCCCCUUCUCUCUCUCUCUCUCUCUCGGCUCUGUUAACACCUAGCCUAAAGUAUAGAACUGCCUGGAGGGCAGGGUUAGGAAUCUCUUCACUACCCUGAUUCUUGAUUCCUGGCACUACCCUGUCUGUCCCUUUUCUUUUACCAGAUCUUUCUCUUCUCUGAACAUUUUCUUCUUUCCCUGGACACGCAGCCUCCUUUGCGUGUAUUCAGAGGCAGUGAUGACUUGCUGUCCAGGCAGCUCCCUCCUGCAGACAGAAUGCUCAGGGUCACUGAAUCAUUGCUUCUCUUUCGAAAGUACAGCUAGCUGCCACUUUCAUGUGGCCUCCAGGGUGUCUCCACUUACACCCCUGUGCUCCCUUACCACACUGAUGGCUCAAGACAAGGCUGGCAAACCCUCCCAGAAACAUUUCUGGCCCCGAGAGCCUCUCUUUCUCUCUCCUUCUCUCAUAAGGCACAGCCAAUCCAAGUGCUCACUUUGAGCCGGUGGGUCAGCCACAGAGCAAAAGAGGGUUUAUUUUCAAUCCCCUCUGUCUGGGUCAGAACCAGAGAGCAUGCUGAAUGCCCCCUGCUUGCUCGGUAAGGGUGCCCCGCCUGAGUCAGUGCUCUCAGCCGGCAAUACAAUGCUUGUAGAAGUAGGAGGAAACAGUUCUCACUGGAAAGAAGCAAGGGCAAGAACGCAAGUGCCUCACCCCGAAAAGAGGCCCUAUUCCCUGGAGUCAGGGUGAACUGCAAAGCUUUGGCUGAGACCUGAGAUUUGAGAUACUACAAACCCUGCUGAACAGAGUGUCUGUUCAGCAAACUAACCUGUAUUCCCUACAGCCUAGGGCAGACAAUAGUAUAGAAGUCUGGAAAAAAACAAAAACAAACACAGAACACCAGUAUUUUGAGAACCUUGGACCACUCCUGUCCCUGUAGCUCAGUCAUCAAAGCAGAAGCGUGGCUUUGCUCUAUUAAGAUUGGAAAUGUACACUACCAAACACUCAGUCCACUGUUGAGCCCCAGUGCUGGAAGGGAGGAGCGCCUUUCUUCCUGUGUUAAUUGCAGAGAGGCUAUAGGGGUUAGCCUGAACUAAAGGCAUCCUUGUCUUUUGAGCUAUUCACCUCAGUAGAAAAGAAUCUAAGGGAAGAUCACUGUAGUUUAGUUCUGUUGACCUGUGCGCCUACCCCUUGGAAAUGUCUGCUGGUAUUUAUAAUUCCACAGGUCAUCAGAGGCCUGCUUGAUAAUAUAUGAAUAAUAAAAAACAACUUUCACUUCUUCCUAU